Molecule: long non-coding RNA, 280 nt
Filed under: Capsella rubella
Lineage: Eukaryota; Viridiplantae; Streptophyta; Magnoliopsida; Brassicales; Brassicaceae
Description: long non-coding RNA (CRUB_LNC003323)
Source: RNAcentral
ACCAAAUAGCCAGCUGGGUAUUGGCGAAUUGAGAGAGGUUUCAGACAAAUCAAGAACUUCAAGGUGCUUCAGACUUGCAGAGGAGGACAACAAGAGAGGUAAUUUCUUGAUCUCACAAUUGAACAAGCGCAACUCUUUUAGCGUCGUGACUCUGCUGAAAUUCUCUAACCAGGUUUCACCGGCGCUGCUCAGAUUCACAUACCCCAUGUUGAGGUACUUCAGAGAAGAAGACAGACCCGAAAUCCACCCGAGGUUGCUUGCGCGUAGAGAAAACGUACCA